UACGUAGGUCCCGAGCGUUGUCCGGAUUUAUUGGGCGUAAAGCGAGCGCAGGUGGUUUAUUAAGUCUGGUGUAAAAGGCAGUGGCUCAACGAUUGUAUGCAUUGGGAACUGGUAGACUUGAGUGCAGGAGAGGAGAGUGGAAUUCCAUGUGUAGCGGUGAAAUGCGUAGAUAUAUGGAGGAACACCGGUGGCGAAAGCGGCUCUCUGGCCUGUAACUGACACUGAGGCUCGAAAGCGUGGGGAGCAAACAGG
This 252-nucleotide ribosomal RNA is filed under the name uncultured bacterium. Its description in RNAcentral is "partial 16S ribosomal RNA". It matches the Rfam family "Bacterial small subunit ribosomal RNA", at positions 524 to 776 of the family's 1533-position model. The record is from RNAcentral.